Non-coding RNA from Nicotiana tabacum (common tobacco), 645 nucleotides. Lineage: Eukaryota; Viridiplantae; Streptophyta; Magnoliopsida; Solanales; Solanaceae. The record is from RefSeq and is a predicted model, not a curated record.
UUUCGAGUACACAGCAACGAUAAAAUUACGUCUUAAUCUCAAAUUUCACUGACCAUAUCAUUCCAUUAGUUGCCAAAAGUGUUUUCCAACAAAAAAUAUAUAUUUUGCACUAUAUAUGCACCACCAUCCAGGGAAAAUAUUUUUCACUAUAUAAACUCUACUACAGAGCUACUUUUCCAUUACUAUGGAGUCCAACUCCCAAUAAGAAUCAGCAUUUGGCUUCUAAUCAGCGUCUUCAGGCAGAUCAUCAACAUCUUCUUUUUUAUUUACUUCUUCUCCCUCUUCUAUGAGAUUCGUUGGCAAGACAUGAAGAAUCCAGGAAGUGUCAACCAAGACCCUAUCUUCAAGAAUUACGGCUUACCUCCUAAUGUAGUUGGUUAUCUAGGGAGAUUGGCAAUGUUGGCAUUUUUCGGAUUUAUAGUACAACACAAUUUGACUGGAAGGACCUUUUGAUAACCUAAUGCAGCAGCUUUCAGACCCAUGGCACAACUCCAUUGUCCAAACCUUCGUGAAGCAGAAAACCUGUUUGAUACUACGCCAAAGAUACUGUUAUCUUUCAAUCAUGAGUUAGUGGUUUUGAUCAAGAAUUGAGCUUUGUUAUAAACAAGUGACCUUUAAUGUACAAGACGACUAGAAUUGCAUGCA